CUGGGUUUACACAACCAGGGCUUCCCAACGCUGUGUUAACUUCUCUUCAUUGACUGUGUUGACGACGACAUGGUCGCGAUCGUACUGUGCACCACCUGCAGAGAGAGGGCAGAGUGCAGGUUACCCCUGAGACACACACAGCUACUCCAGGGCUCAGGGCAGCUCUACUAUGUGCCAGUGCAGAGUUUCUCUUCUCCCCAAGGCACUACAAACUCAUUCUUAUCACUGCCUGCUUUUGGAAUUCAUUUGGAAACAAGCCUGCCUGCUCCUCUCCACCCCUUCAGCACCUCAGCUUUUCCAGAUGGAUGGGAAAUGAAGGACAUGCUGCAGCACAGUCUGGUUGUGAAGGUUUGGGAGUUACCUGCCCCCCACCUUAUGAAGUCACCCAGACUAGACUCAGCCAGCUGAAAGUUAAGGAAUGAAGGUUUGUAGUCCCAUCUUAGCACAAGAUACAAGCAGAUAGUUACAAUAUUUACAGCUCUAGACAGAAACAAGUUAAAGGUAAUACAGAAACACAGCAGCCCUCCAGAGGCCAGAGUCCCCAGGAGGGGCUCCCAACCACCCUUCCACCUUCUUUCCACCCCUCUACCUUAUCUCAGAGUCUGCCUUAUGUGCAAAGUUGAGUUUGGAGGAUCAGCAAGAGGGGUUAGAAGCAGAAUUGGGAGAAUUAGAAGCAGAAUUAGCCCAGGGAGAAAAGCACAGACACUGACUCCAACAGAGAGAGACUCUCACACUGUCUUAUCUAUGUUUGUGUCCUUGCUUUUAUCCAUCUCAGCGAGCUUCUGGGUGCAGCAGCCAUCAUCAUUGUUUCCUUUUCACAGCCUAGAAUCUUUUUUCUCAUGAAAAUAUUCCAGUUAGCCUCAAACCAGCACACAGGUUUGGCUCCUUUAAGACUGCCACUUCCCCAGACCGCACUUGGCUGUUCAGUUUCCCCUAAACAGUUGUCCCUUUGCUCUAGAGAUGAUGUCUGUGCUGAAAUGAGCCCUGCUGCUAACAGACAAUACAAGCUCUGGUACUCAUUUCCUCCCCACCACGAUAAUCCUGUGGUUUUGGCCAGCUGCAUCACAAGAUGCCUUUUGCAGAGCAUCACAACUUAUUCAGCUGUUCCUUCUGGCAGCUGAGCACACCCAAAUGAAAAGUAAGCCCCUUUCUUAGGGGGGCUUCACUUACCCACAGGAUGCAAUUCCAAACAUGUCCUCAGAGAAGAGCUCCAUUACUAUUCUGACUUGAGAAACAUUCAGCUACACCUGAUAGGCAGAACUGACAUUGUCCCUCAGACCCAGUACAGACUGCAGGUGCAGGACAUGGGCAUCCAUCCAUCUAGCACAACACAUCUGCAAUAGCAGGCAGCAUUCCCACUGGAAGCAGCUCUCUGAGUCAACCAUUUCUCCAGAGCACCAGGACACUCCUGUGGAUACUUUCAUUCUGCAUCUUUACAGCCUCACUCUCCCCAGAUGAGUUAAAGAUGAGCCAGCAGCUGAGAGCUGGAGAAGAGUGGCCCAAACAUGGGUGCUAGCAGGUAUCAGACAGAGACAUCCCAGGCACCAGCAGUCCUGCAUGGACAGAUACUUUAAGAGUAGCUCUUUUGUACCAGGAAAAUGCCAUCCCAAGCACCUUCACUGUUCUCUGCCUCAGAAACUUGGUAGAGGCUUUCUGGAGCCACUGCCUCAAAGCAGAAAGGUCUGAUUAACACCAAGAUGGUUUCUGUCCUUGCCACCAGGCAAUUACUGAAAAUCAGUAAAGACACACAGCAGAAAUUCUUGCAAACUUCAGAAAGGGGGGGGGGAGCAGUUCAGAUAAUCCCACAGGAAAAAUAAACCUAAGCAGCAGCUACAAACCCCUAAAAUUAGCUACACAGCUCAGUUAUCUGUGAGCACAAAAAUAUUUUGUUGGCAAGGUCUGUCAGAAUGUAAGCCUGUGUCCUUGGGAAAAGAUGGGAUUGCUUUUCAGUUAAACAAGAGACUCAGCUGGCAGAGCUCUGGGCAAGGCUUUGUGCUGUGCCAGUGCAUCCACAUGGUGGCACUGGAAACUGCACAGUUAACUGCCUACCUUUGCUGGGAGACUGAUGCUCGGCUGGGUGGAGCUGAGUGGCUGAAGAAUGGAUCAGCAGAACUGGCAUAAACAUGCCAGGUAAUGUUCCUCUUCCUCAAAUGUGAGCUGAAUGUACUUGUUCUUUCAUAUUUACCCACGUUUUAAAGCUAGGAGCACUUCUAGACUUUGAUCAAUAGACCUGUUUGUGUGAAGCCCUUCAGUUCCAAAUGCAGAACUGAUUGAAGCUGAUUAACUGAAGGCAGCAGAAUGGAAUUUCUGCUUGUCUGGUGCAACUCAGAACUGACUGUAGAAAAAGCUGUGCAACAUCCUUGUGACUAAAUGCUCUCCCCUGAACUGCAGGCUUUUGCUAAGCUUAGAACUAAGCACCACCAGCUUUUCAUGGCAGUAGAGGGAAUUUAUGUCAGUGCCAGUGUUGUGUUCUGGGCAGACAUUUGGUAGCCUUUUUCUCACAGGUCUGACAGUCCUGUCUUGAGUUCAGAACUUCACACUGUUGACUCUGGUGUUUUUCUUUCUUUAGUUUGUGUUUUCCACUGGAAGCAGACAUCUGAGCCAACCAUUUCUGUUCUAGUGGCAGGUGUCCCUGCCUAUGGCAGGGGGUUGGAACUAGAUGAUCUUUGAGGUCCCUUCCAACCUAAACCAUCCUGUGAUUCUAUGAUUUCUCCAGAGCACCAGGACCCUCCUAUGGACACUUUCAUUCUGCACUCCUGUAGCCUUCCAGCCCCAACAUUUCACAGUGAUUAGAUGUUGUGCAGAGGGAUUUGGUUUAGCCAAGGACUUAGUGUGAAACUAAUGAUUGGAUUUGCUGACCUUGAAGGUCUUUUCCAAUCUAAGAAAAUUCUGUCAUUCUAUGAUUCUGUGCUGCUUGUGUCUAAUCUAAUCAGGGUGCAAGCCUGCCUUUGCCUUCCUAAUAUCCUUUGGCCAUUGCAUCUGCAACUCCUAUGUAAGAAAAUGUGCUCUGUACAGAUGAAAGGUAAUGAGGAGGCUUCCCCUGCUUCAGCAUUUUAAAUAAUGACACUCACGUCACCCAGUGCCACCUAACAUGAACUGAGGAUAUCUGCAGUGAGUGGACGCUGGGGAUACAAGAUAAGCAAGUACUGUGAGUUACUAAACUCUGUGUAGGAAAAAUGAAUUGGAGUCCUAGGGCCUGUAUAAUUCAGAGUCAGACAAGCUCAUCGGGUCCUUUUUGGUUCCAGAUGAAAGUCACUGUAACACCAUCCUUAAUUUAUAGGCAGGUCCAGUGCCUAACCCACUGUAAACACCAGGUGAUGAAGACACAACGUAAUGAGAUAACACAUUUGCUUACCUUUGAUAUCUAAAACCAGCUUGGGUUUCAUCUUGCUGUAGAUCCUGCCAUCAGGACUGAUGUGCCAAUACUGUUUGUCUUCGUUCCGCUCGAACGACAGCCCGAGCUUGGAGCCAGGGGUGAUGAGGUUCCCAACGAUGGUCAAGCAGCAGUCCUCUGCCAGCUGCAGCAGAAGGGCAACAGCAGUUACUCAGCAUGCCCUUACUUUUGGUGCCCACUGCUUUUUGAUCAGAUAGGAGGCGAGAACAGAGUCUAGUCCUGCAACAGGCUUUUGAGACAAAGCACAGAACUGCACAGUGCUGAAUGUUGCAGUGUAGCACGA
Long non-coding RNA from Pogoniulus pusillus (Red-fronted tinkerbird), 3677 nucleotides. RefSeq lists it as uncharacterized. Lineage: Eukaryota; Metazoa; Chordata; Aves; Piciformes; Lybiidae. The transcript has 2 exons. The record is from RefSeq and is a predicted model, not a curated record.